CUAGCUUCUCGGCUCUCUGAGCUAAGAUCAUGUGUAGUAUCUGUUCUUUGCAGUGUAAUUUCUGCAACGGUCUCUAAACUGAGACCAAUGAAAUCACCUGUAUUUUUCACCUCCGGACGGGUGCUGUGAGCUUGCUCAAGCCCGUCCACGGGUCGGCCUCGUAUUGCAUUACGGUAAAAGGUACGUCUACCUUAA
Molecule: small nuclear RNA, 195 nt
Filed under: Schistosoma mansoni
Lineage: Eukaryota; Metazoa; Platyhelminthes; Trematoda; Strigeidida; Schistosomatidae
Description: U2 spliceosomal RNA
Rfam family: U2 spliceosomal RNA
About the family: U2 is a small nuclear RNA (snRNA) component of the spliceosome (involved in pre-mRNA splicing).
Source: Rfam by way of RNAcentral